Non-coding RNA from Eubacteriaceae bacterium CHKCI004, 97 nucleotides. NCBI's taxonomy places the organism in Bacteria, Bacillati, Bacillota, Clostridia, Eubacteriales, Eubacteriaceae. The record is from Rfam.
GGAAGCCGUAUACAUCGAGAGGUGUACGUACGGUUUCGGGGCGAGGCUAUGGAAACCUAUCAUGGAGACAUGAAAAGGCGCUGUAGUCUUAGCCUAC